RNAcentral lists this transfer RNA (72 nucleotides) under Ovis aries (sheep). It matches the Rfam family "tRNA". Rfam says of the family: Transfer RNA (tRNA) molecules are approximately 80 nucleotides in length. Their secondary structure includes four short double-helical elements and three loops (D, anti-codon, and T loops). Lineage: Eukaryota; Metazoa; Chordata; Mammalia; Artiodactyla; Bovidae. The record is from Rfam by way of RNAcentral.
UCCCCGGUGGCUCAGUUGGUAAAGAAUCUGCCUAUAACGCAGGACACCCAGGUUUGAUCCCUGGGUUGGGAA